This 64-nucleotide transfer RNA is filed under the name Ramulus hainanensis. RNAcentral describes it as "Ramulus hainanense tRNA-Thr". It matches the Rfam family "tRNA". From Rfam's summary of the family: Transfer RNA (tRNA) molecules are approximately 80 nucleotides in length. Their secondary structure includes four short double-helical elements and three loops (D, anti-codon, and T loops). Further hydrogen bonds mediate the characteristic L-shaped molecular structure. tRNAs have two regions of fundamental functional importance: the anti-codon, which is responsible for specific mRNA codon recognition, and the 3' end, to which the tRNAs corresponding amino acid is attached (by aminoacyl-tRNA synthetases). tRNAs cope with the degeneracy of the genetic code in two manners: having more than one tRNA (with a specific anti-codon) for a particular amino acid; and 'wobble' base-pairing, i.e. permitting non-standard base-pairing at the 3rd anti-codon position. The record is from RNAcentral. Lineage: Eukaryota; Metazoa; Arthropoda; Insecta; Phasmatodea; Phasmatidae.
GUUUUAAUAGUUUAAAAAAAAUAUUGGUCUUGUAAAUCAAUGAUGAAAAAUAAUUCUUAAAACU